RNAcentral lists this ribosomal RNA (497 nucleotides) under uncultured bacterium. RNAcentral describes it as "partial 16S ribosomal RNA". It matches the Rfam family "Bacterial small subunit ribosomal RNA", at positions 28 to 507 of the family's 1533-position model. The record is from RNAcentral.
GAUGAACGCUGGCGGCGUGCCUAACACAUGCAAGUCGAACGCAUAGAGAAAGGUACCUGCACCUUUCAGGUGAGGGGCGACCGGGUGUGUAACACGAGGACAACCUGUCGCGAGGCUGGGGGUAUAAUAUGGAAACAGAUGCCAAUACCGAAUAUAAGAUCGUGGCGCAUGACACAGAGAUAAUAGGCCCUUCGGCGUCACAAAGAGAUGUAAGCGCGGUGGAUUAGUUAGUUGGUGGGGUAAAGGCCUACCAAGACAAUGAUGCGUAGCUGAGUUGAGAGGAUGAUCAGCCCCAUUGGAACUGAGACACGGUCCAAACUCCUACGGGAGGCAGCAGUAGGGAAUAUUGGACAAUGGGCGAAAGCCUGAUGGAGCAAAGCCGCGUGUGUGAAGAAGGCUUUCGGGUUGUAAAGCACUGUUGUAUGGGAAGAAAAGCUAGAAGAGAAAAUGAUUUUGGUUUGACGGUACCAAAAGAGUAAGGGACGGCUAACUACGUG